RNAcentral lists this ribosomal RNA (238 nucleotides) under uncultured bacterium. RNAcentral describes it as "partial 16S ribosomal RNA". It matches the Rfam family "Bacterial small subunit ribosomal RNA", at positions 524 to 758 of the family's 1533-position model. The record is from RNAcentral.
UACGUAGGGUGCAAGCGUUGUCCGGAAUUAUUGGGCGUAAAGAGCUCGUAGGCGGUUUGUUGCGUCGGCUGUGAAAUCCCGAGGCUCAACCUCGGGUCUGCAGUCGAUACGAGCAAACUAGAGUGUUGCAGGGGAGACUGGAAUUCCUGGUGUAGCGGUGAAAUGCGUAGAUAUCAUUUGGAACGCCAAUGGUGAAAACAGCUCGCUGGGGGGUGUCCUGACGGCUGAGACGGCGAAA